Camelus dromedarius (Arabian camel) is the source of this 107-nucleotide small nuclear RNA. The record is from Ensembl. Lineage: Eukaryota; Metazoa; Chordata; Mammalia; Artiodactyla; Camelidae.
GUGCUGACUUCAGCAGCACGUGUACUGAAACUGGAACCACACAGAGAAGAUAAUCACGGCCCCUGCACAAGGAUGACACGCCGCUUCGUGAAGUGUUCUGUAUUUUG